RNAcentral lists this ribosomal RNA (830 nucleotides) under uncultured Methanomicrobiales archaeon. Its description in RNAcentral is "bacterial SSU rRNA". It matches the Rfam family "Archaeal small subunit ribosomal RNA", at positions 44 to 880 of the family's 1478-position model. The record is from RNAcentral. Lineage: Archaea; Methanobacteriati; Methanobacteriota; Methanomicrobia; Methanomicrobiales.
GCUAGCCAUGCGAGUCGAGAGGGUUCGGCCCUCGGCUGACGGCUCAGUAACACGUGGAUAAUCUGCCCUUAGGUGGAGGAUAAUCUCGGGAAACUGAGGAUAAUACUCCAUAGAUCUAGGAUGCUGGAAUGCACCUAGAUUGAAAGCUCCGGCGCCUAAGGAUGAGUCUGCGGACUAUCAGGUUGUAGUCAGGGUAAAGACCUGACUAGCCUACGACGGAUACGGGUUGUGAGAGCAAUAACCCGGAGACGAUAUCUGAGACACGAUAUCGGGCCCUACGGGGCGCAGCAGGCGCGAAAACUUCACACUGUGCGAAAGCGCGAUGAGGGAAUCCCAUGUGCUUGCUCGUAAGAGUAAGCUGUUUCUUUGUCUAAAACGCAGAGAGAGUAAGGGCUGGGUAAGACGGGUGCCAGCCGCCGCGGUAAUACCUGCAGCUCAAGUGGUGAUCAUUAUUAUUGGGCCUAAAACGUCCGUAGCCGGUUUAGUAAAUGCCUGGGUAAAUCGUGUAGCUUAACUAUACGAAUUCUGGGUAGACUGCUAAACUUGAGACCGGGAGAGGCUAGAGGUACUCCUGGGGUAGAGGUGAAAUUCUGUAAUCCUAGGGGGACCACCAGUGGCGAAGGCGUCUAGCUAGAACGGGUCUGACGGUGAGGGACGAAGCCCUGGGGCGCAAACCGGAUUAGAUACCCGGGUAGUCCAGGGUGUAAACGCUGCUUGCUUGAUGUUAGUUGGGCUCCGAGCCCAACUAGUGUCGGAGAGAAGUUGUUAAGCAAGCUGCCUGGGAAGUACGGUCGCAAGGCUGAAACUUAAAGGAAUUGGCGGGGAGCACA